RNAcentral lists this ribosomal RNA (774 nucleotides) under Salmonella enterica. RNAcentral describes it as "partial 23S ribosomal RNA". It matches the Rfam family "Bacterial large subunit ribosomal RNA", at positions 2029 to 2802 of the family's 2925-position model. Lineage: Bacteria; Pseudomonadati; Pseudomonadota; Gammaproteobacteria; Enterobacterales; Enterobacteriaceae. The record is from RNAcentral.
AGACUCAGUGAAAUUGAACUCGCUGUGAAGAUGCAGUGUACCCGCGGCAAGACGGAAAGACCCCGUGAACCUUUACUAUAGCUUGACACUGAACAUUGAGCCUUGAUGUGUAGGAUAGGUGGGAGGCUUUGAAGUGUGGACGCCAGUCUGCAUGGAGCCGGCCUUGAAAUACCACCCUUUAAUGUUUGAUGUUCUAACGUGGACCCGUAAUCCGGGUUGCGGACAGUGUCUGGUGGGUAGUUUGACUGGGGCGGUCUCCUCCUAAAGAGUAACGGAGGAGCACGAAGGUUGGCUAAUCCUGGUCGGACAUCAGGAGGUUAGUGCAAUGGCAUAAGCCAGCUUGACUGCGAGCGUGACGGCGCGAGCAGGUGCGAAAGCAGGUCAUAGUGAUCCGGUGGUUCUGAAUGGAAGGGCCAUCGCUCAACGGAUAAAAGGUACUCCGGGGAUAACAGGCUGAUACCGCCCAAGAGUUCAUAUCGACGGCGGUGUUUGGCACCUCGAUGUCGGCUCAUCACAUCCUGGGGCUGAAGUAGGUCCCAAGGGUAUGGCUGUUCGCCAUUUAAAGUGGUACGCGAGCUGGGUUUAGAACGUCGUGAGACAGUUCGGUCCCUAUCUGCCGUGGGCGCUGGAGAACUGAGGGGGGCUGCUCCUAGUACGAGAGGACCGGAGUGGACGCAUCACUGGUGUUCGGGUUGUCAUGCCAAUGGCACUGCCCGGUAGCUAAAUGCGGAAGAGAUAAGUGCUGAAAGCAUCUAAGCACGAAACUUGCCCCGA